This 4876-nucleotide long non-coding RNA is filed under the name Malus domestica (apple). RNAcentral describes it as "long non-coding RNA (MDOM_LNC002726)". Lineage: Eukaryota; Viridiplantae; Streptophyta; Magnoliopsida; Rosales; Rosaceae. The record is from RNAcentral.
UCUACCCACAAACACCAAUACACAUUCUUUUCAGGAAUCUAACUUUGGCAUCAGAGAAUCUUCGCCCAAUGCCCCCCCCCACUUCAUUGUGGGUGCGUGGGGCUUUUGGCCUUAAUCUUAGGUGUUAUUAUUUUGUAGUUGCAUUUUCGUCAAAGGAGAAGAUGGCGGAAAUUUGCAUUCACAAACACCAUUGAUGACGACCAUGGACUCACCAUCCCUCUGUAGCUUUAUGACAAUUCUGAAAGGAUUCUAAAAUAAACAUGACGAGUUUGACGAAAAAGAUGAAGCAAAAUUUCCACCAAGCCUGUCAAAUAAUAUUUUCGCCAAUUCGUUGCUCUCCUUUAAUUCAAAUUUCCACACCUAUACAAAUGUUAACCCUCAAAUCUUCUAUCACAUGGCCUGGAGGUUCCUCCUAGCUUCAAUUUUUAGCUUCGCCGUUGCUUCAUUAAAUAGCUAAAUAUGAAGACAAACUACGAGCAUCCUGUGACGGCCAAAUUUAAAGUCAAAAUUGCGGACGACGAUGCGAGUAACGGUCAAACUGCGUUGAGAUCUAGAGACGUUAAAUGACAAGAUAUAGGUACCAAAAACCACAAUGUCCAAUUUUAUCGUUAGGAUUGGAAUUCUAGAAACCAUGAAGUCCAGCUAUUGUUAUGUUUUAGUUCAAACAAAAAUCACUCGAAGAAUGGGUUAAAGCAAUUAGUUUCCAUCCAAUGGUUUAUUACGUAACAGAAAAACAAAAACAAAAGGUACAGAAGACUGGGCUCCUAAAUUUAGACCUAUACCCUUCUUGGGUUGCAUAUAUAUAUCAUACUCCAUGCAUUCAUUUCUUAGCCCCAAGCAAAUAAUUUGUAAUCACGGUAGCUUCAAUUUAAAAACAUACAUCUUGAGCGAUGGCCACCUCAAUCAGUUAUGCAUUCAUUGCUUCCAUGCUCUUAUGUCUCUCGUCGUCUCCAGCGCCAUUUGCAAAUGCAAGAGUGUCUCAAUUAGUUAGGAGUGUUUGCAAGCAAACCCAAGAACAAUUCGGCUACAACUAUAGGCAGUGCGUAAAAUCUCUUUGGAAAGAUAUUCCAAUUAGAUCGGCAACUAAUCUCAAAGAUCUUGACAAAGCCGUUCCUAAAUUAGCAGCAGCAAAUGCGGCACAAACCAAAGCUACGUUUGAAAAAGCUUUAAACGCCACCGACAAGAAUGCUAAUGGCACGACAGCUAUAAAGCAGUGUGUAGAUUCGUAUGAUUUUAAGUUAGGAACGUUCGUUUUCGCAGUGCGAGGGGUCAAUGACGGUGACAAAUCGGUCACCGAAAUCCUCACACAGGCCCAAGAUGACCUUGUUCGUUGCCAAAGAGCAUUGGCCACUGUUGAAGUUCCGCUUCCUAUGCCAGUAUCAACGACGAACUUUUGGGUCUUGUUAUAUAGGGAUGUUGCAUUCCUUGUUACUUCCCAGUUAUUCAAUAUCUAGAAAAAGAUAUGAGAGUAGUGUAUUGAAAUUUGAAAAUACACGCGUACCAAAGAAAUGUAUCUGUGAUUACUAUAAAUAAAAAGGAUAGAAAUUUGAAGAAAUGAAAAAAAUUUGAUAUGAAUAACGAAUAUCAAUCGUUUAUUGGCAUUGUUGUGUUCCUCUUUAGUUUGGAUUUCUUAUCAUGCAUUCACUUUACUAUGCAUUGGCUUUAACAAAGUUGAAAUGAUGGUACAUGUAUUUUCAUUCAAACUUGACAUCCCCGUAUCAGUCCAAAUACAGGUUCUAACUUAUUUCAUUCACCAUUCGAUUCAUGCAACUUGUGUUUCUUUAUUCAAUGGGUGGGGAGAUUUGAACUUGAAAUUUUUUUAAGAAUUUGGAAGACAACAAUUAAUGCGCAUCCAAUUUUUUCUUCUUUGCACCCAUGUCUGUCUUAUAGCCCACAUUGUUUUAUGACCUUUCCUUCUAAGACUGCCUCCUUUGACUAAUGACAUUCUUUUCAAGAAUGCAAAAUCCUCGAUCAUGGUCGGCAUAUGAUUACGUAGAGCUUGCUCGAGUCGCUCUUGAGUUAGCAGCAACGAAUACAAAAGAUAGGCACAGCUUUAUAAACAUUUAAUCAAGAGGGAUUCGAGGGAGCCUAUUUAACAAUAUCAGUUUUUGUACCGCACGGUGGUGGUUUUAUUCUAGUGGCAUACAUGAGGACAAGGAUAGGCCUGGGCCUCUCCAUCAUUUUCUUUAUUUUGUAUGUUUUAGCUUGGGUUUGUUAUUCUUUAAUUUCUGUUUGUGUGCUUUCCAUUGAGCACGAUGUAGUUAAAUCACCAGUUGGCGUGCAUAGUGUUGUUUAAAAAGUUUAUAUUGAAAAACAGAAUCACAUUUGCAUUUUUGAUCCAUGAUCUUUAAUGCUUGUUCAACUUCGAUGUAGUAAUCGUUUCUUUUUAGCACAACUUUUGAGCAAGUUCGGUGCUUAUGGUAUUAUUGUCUCAGUGUUAAAUUAUUAUUUUCGUGACUUCAUUGCUCUCAGUUGAUUCAAAUUUCACAAAAGUUAACCGAUAAGAUUUUUAACGUCUAUGCAAGUCAAAAUCACUUGAAAUACUUGCAAGAAUACAAGGAUGUUGUAGUAUAGAUGCUGAUGCAAGGUCGUUCUCCUCAAUGACUAUUUGGAUAAUUUAUGUAGAAACAAUUUCUAAUCAAAUACUUAGAAUUAAAAAUUGAGAAAAGAGAUUAUGAAAUUGGGUAAUAUUAAAAACAAAUUCUAAUUAAAAACUAAUAUGACAAAAGAAAAGAGUUUUAAAUAUCAAUUUAUAAAAGCACUAGGGUUCCACCAUCACCUAGCAAUCCUAUGUAUUCUUACCAAUUACUUAUGAUCUACACAUGCACUUUGAAGGUUAGUUUUCCUAAUUUAUAUUGUACUUGGAACCUCCAACAUAGAAUGUAUAUCUAACAUGCAACUCAUAUGGACGUUUGGAUCAAAUCUGAACAUGAAAGACUCAUUAUGCUUUAUGAAAACCCUUUGAAAAACCAUCCAACCCUUAAGACGUGGUGUUCAUCCUAAGUGAAAUUACAAUUAUUAAUCACAAGAAGCCAGCGUCAAUUUCAGGGAAUCUUCCAACCAAAAUUGCAUCAAAUUACUUUUCUAAAGAUCCUAAUGGUGAUCAAGCAUUAAGACAAUUAGAUCAUUUUAAUCACGGUGAUCAAUAAUUCAAAGUAUGCAUGCAAUCAAUCAUAAGCAAUUAAAUAAAAAUCACAUAUUCAUGCUAAGGCUCAAAGCUUCGCCCUAGCAAAGCGGAAAUUAGUUACACAUAUUCAUAAUUGAAAACAUAGAAAAUAUUAUUAGAAUGAAUAAGAAUGAAAACACCUUUUAUUAGAAUGAAUAAGAAUGAAAACACCUUGAAUUGGAAAAUCUGAAAGCCUUUGAAAACCCUAGCAAGUUCUUUGUCUCCAAAGUUAAUUAAAAGUAAGCGUAGGAAAAACUAAGAACGGCAAAGCAAUAUAUUUGCUAAGCCAUCGCACAAAUCCUAAAACAUAGGUCUCUUACUCCAACUAGGAAACUAAAUAAUAAUAAAAUAUCUUACAAAAUAAAAUCCGAAUAAAACUAAGAGAAUCUGCCAAGCACUUGUCCAGCCACGGUUUAGCCUCAGAUAUCCUCCAAAUCCAGCCCACAAUAGCUUGUUUUAAAGACUAGGACGUUCUGAACACAUCUAUAGAAGGCCACGAACCCAUCUGAGGUCAUCUUCGGCUCCAAAAACGCAAUUCAAACCCAGAACGUCACUAUUCCAGCAACACGCAAUCCUUCUUUAUUUUAUUGCCAGAAAAUAACCGCUGGGUGGAAAAAUCUAAUAUUUUGAUACGAUCAAGCUAACUGACUCACGAACGUCCUCCAACUGGAAUUACUCCAAAAUUCCUCCAUUUGACCAUGUUUUGCUCCAGAGAAAGUCGAAAGUCUUAUAUUGGAAAUAUAAUUCAUAGUAUCAAAAUUCUUCCAAAAUAUACUAAGAAAAGGGUUAAAUAUAUAAUUUAAAAUCUACUCAUCAUUAACCCUCAAAUCUUCUCUCAUUGAUCGUAUUAUUUUUAAUCUAAUUUCUGUCACAUGGCCUGGAGGAUCCGCCUAACUUCGAUUUUUGGCUCCACCACUGCUUCAUUAAACAGCUAAAUAUGAAGACAUACAACGAGCAUCAUGUGAUGGCCAAAUUUAAAGUCAAAAUUGCGUGCGACGAUGAGAGUAACGGUCAAACUGCAUUGAGAUCUAGGGAGGUUAAAAACCACAAUGUCCAAUUGUAUCGUUAGGAUUGGAAUUCUAGAAAUCAUGAAGUCCAUAUUUUGUUGUGUUUUAGUUCAAACAAAAAUCACUAGAAGAAUGGGUUAAAGCAAGUAAUUUCCAUCCAAUGGUUUAUUACGUAACAGAAAAACAAAAACAAAAGGUACAGAAGACUGGGCUCCUAAAUUUAGACCUAUACCCUUCUUGGGUUGCUUAUAUAUAUCAUACUCCAUGCAUUCAUUUCUUAACCCCAAGCAAAUAAUUUGUAAUCACGUUAGCUUCAAUUUAAAAGCAUACAUCUUGAGCGAUGGCCACCUCAAUCAGUUAUGCAGUGUUCAUUGCUUCCAUGCUCUUAUGUCUCUCGUCGUCUCCAGCACCAUUUGCAAAUGCAAGAGCAUCUCAAUUAGUUAGGAGUGUUUGCAAGCAAACCCAAGAACAAUUCGGCUACAACUAUAGGCAGUGCGUAAAAUCUCUUUGGAAAGAUAUUCCAAUUAGAUCGGCAACUAAUCUCAAAGAUCUUGACAUAGCCGUUCUUAAAUUAGCAGCAACAAAUGCAGCACAAACCAAAGCUACGUUUGAAAAAGCUUUAAACGCCACCGACAAGAAUGCUAAUGGCACGACAGCUAUAAAGCAGUGUGUAGAUUCGUUUGAUUUUGCGUUAGGAGCGUUC